AGCAGGUCCAGUCUCUCUGUGUACUGUGAGAGAGUAGCAGGUCCAGUCUCUCUGUGUACUGUGAGAGAGUAGCAGGUCCAGUCUCUCUGUGUACUGUGAGAGAGUAGCAGGUCCAGUCCAGGUGUACUGUGAGAGAGUAGCAGGUCCAGUCUCUCUGUGUACUGUGAGAGAGUAGCAGGUCCAGUCUCUCUGUGUACUGUGAGAGAGUAGCAGGUCCAGUCUCUCUGUGUACUGUGAGAGAGUAGCAGGUCCAGUCCAGGUGUACUGUGAGAGAGUAGCAGGUCCAGUCCAGGUGUACUGUGAGAGAGUAGCAGGUCCAGUCCAGGUGUACUGUGAGAGAGUAGCAGGUCCAGUCCAGGUGUACUGUGAGAGAGUAGCAGGUCCAGUCCAGGUGUACUGUGAGAGAGUAGCAGGUCCAGUCCAGGUGUACUGUGAGAGAGUAGCAGGUCCAGUCCAGGUGUACUGUGAGAGAGUAGCAGGUCCAGUCCAGGUGUACUGUGAGAGAGUAGCAGGUCCAGUCCAGGUGUACUGUGAGAGAGUAGCAGGUCCAGUCCAGGUGUACUGUGAGAGAGUAGCAGGUCCAGUCCAGGUGUACUGUGAGAGAGUAGCAGGUCC
Long non-coding RNA from Oncorhynchus keta (chum salmon), 615 nucleotides. RefSeq lists it as uncharacterized. The transcript has 3 exons. The record is from RefSeq and is a predicted model, not a curated record. Lineage: Eukaryota; Metazoa; Chordata; Actinopteri; Salmoniformes; Salmonidae.